UACGGGGGGGGCAAGCGUUGUUCGGAAUUACUGGGCGUAAAGGGCUCGUAGGCGGCCCUCUCAGUCGGAUGUGAAAUCCCCAGGCUUAACCUGGGAACGGCAUCCGAUACUGGAGGGCUUGAAUUCGGGAGAGGGAUGCAGAAUUCCAGGUGUAGCGGUGAAAUGCGUAGAUAUCUGGAGGAAUACCGGUGGCGAAGGCGGCAUCCUGGACCAUUACUGACGCUGAGGCGCGAAAGCUAGGGGAGCAAACGGG
This 253-nucleotide ribosomal RNA is filed under the name uncultured bacterium. Its description in RNAcentral is "partial 16S ribosomal RNA". It matches the Rfam family "Bacterial small subunit ribosomal RNA", at positions 524 to 776 of the family's 1533-position model. The record is from RNAcentral.